Molecule: long non-coding RNA, 1432 nt
Organism: Passer domesticus (house sparrow)
Lineage: Eukaryota; Metazoa; Chordata; Aves; Passeriformes; Passeridae
Exons: 3
Source: RefSeq, a predicted model, not a curated record
CGCUGCUUAGUCACGGCCCCUCCCCCCCCCGCCCCCCCCCGGGGCCGCGGCGCGAACGCCUCUCCACCCCACCAUGGCCGCCUGUCCCACCAUGCCCAGUCCCUCCCCACCACCCCCAGAGUGCCCGGCCGAGGUGACGCCUUCCUCCUCCUCCUCCUCCUCCUCCUCGCCCCCGCCGUGCCGCUACACGCUGUCCGAGCACCCCGCGGCCGCGCUGGCGGCCAUGAACGAGCUGCGCCUGCAGGGCCUGCGUGCCUCAGUUUCCCCCGUUCUAACCCCCCAUAACAACCCCGUAACCCAUUCCUGAGAGAUCCUGUGCCCCUCCGUGCCUCAGUUUCCCCACUCUAACCCUGUUUUUCUCCUCCCAAAUCCCAUUCUUGUCCCACUUCCCACACUCUGUGCCUCAGUUUCCCCACUCUAACCCCAUUUCUCUCCCCCCGCAGCCUUUCCACUACCCCAAAUUCCACUCCAGGGAGAUCCUGUCCCCCUCCGUGCCUCAGUUUCCCCACUCUAACCCUCUCAAAUCCCAUUCCUGUCCCCCUCCCCACAAUCCGUGCCUCAGUUUCCCCACUCUAACCCCAUUUUUCUCCCCCUACAGCCUUUCCACUACCCCAAACCCCACUCCAUGGAGAUCCUGUGCCACUCCGUGCCUCAGUUUCCCCACUCUAACCCCAUUUCUCUCCCCCUAAAUUCCAUUCCUGUCCCCUCCACACCCUCCAUGCCUCAGUUUCCCCACUCUAACCCUCUCAAAUUCCACUCCAGGGAGAUCCUGUGCCCCUCUAUGCCUCAGUUUCCCCACUCUAACCCCCCCAAAUCCCAUUCCAGGGGGUCCUGUCCCACUCCGUGCCUCAGUUUCCCCACUCUAACCCCAUUUUUUUCCCCCCACAGCCUCUCCACCCCACCAUGGCCGCCUGUCCCGCCAUGCCCAGUCCCUCCCCACCGCCCCCCGAGUGCCCGGCCGAGCCUCUCCACCCCACCAUGGCCGCCUGUCCCAGUCCCUCCCCACCUCCCCCAGAGUGCCCGGCCGAGGUGACGCCUUCCUCCUCCUCCUCCUCGUCGCCCCCGCCGUGCCGCUACACGCUGUCCGAGCACCCCGCGGCCGCGCUGGCGGCCAUGAACGAGCUGCGGCUGCAGGGCCGCCUGCGUGCCUCAGUUUCCCCCGUUCUAACCCCCCAUAACAACCCCGUAACCCAUUCCAGGGGGUCCUGUCCCACUCCGUGCCUCAGUUUCCCCACUCUAACCCCCCAUAACAACCCCAUAUUCCAUUCUAGGGUGAUCCUGUGCCCUUCUGUGCCUCAGUUUCCCCACUCUAACCCUGUUAUUUUACCCCUAAAUCCCAUUCCUGUCCCCGUCCCCACCCUCCGUGCCUCAGUUUCCCCACUCUAACCCCCCAUAACAACCCCAUAACCCAUUCCAGGGGGUCCUGUGCCCU